UACGGAGGGAGCUAGCGUUGUUCGGAAUUACUGGGCGUAAAGCGCACGUAGGCGGAUCGAUCAGUCAGGGGUGAAAUCCCAGGGCUCAACCCUGGAACUGCCUUUGAUACUGUCGAUCUGGAGUAUGGAAGAGGUGAGUGGAAUUCCGAGUGUAGAGGUGAAAUUCGUAGAUAUUCGGAGGAACACCAGUGGCGAAGGCGGCUCACUGGUCCAUUACUGACGCUGAGGUGCGAAAGCGUGGGGAGCA
This 247-nucleotide ribosomal RNA is filed under the name uncultured bacterium. Its description in RNAcentral is "partial 16S ribosomal RNA". It matches the Rfam family "Bacterial small subunit ribosomal RNA", at positions 524 to 770 of the family's 1533-position model. The record is from RNAcentral.